RNAcentral lists this ribosomal RNA (1080 nucleotides) under Firmicutes bacterium Mexcell7. Its description in RNAcentral is "bacterial SSU rRNA". It matches the Rfam family "Bacterial small subunit ribosomal RNA", at positions 38 to 1096 of the family's 1533-position model. The record is from RNAcentral. Lineage: Bacteria; Bacillati; Bacillota.
GGCAUUGGGGCAAGCUAUAAUGCAGUCGAGCGAACAGAAGGGAGCUUGCUCCCGGAUGUUAGCGGCGGACGGGUGAGUAACACGUGGGUAACCUGCCUGUAAGACUGGGAUAACUCCGGGAAACCGGAGCUAAUACCGGAUAGUUCCUUGAACCGCAUGGUUCAAGGAUGAAAGACGGUUUCGGCUGUCACUUACAGAUGGACCCGCGGCGCAUUAGCUAGUUGGUGGGGUAAUGGCUCACCAAGGCGACGAUGCGUAGCCGACCUGAGAGGGUGAUCGGCCACACUGGGACUGAGACACGGCCCAGACUCCUACGGGAGGCAGCAGUAGGGAAUCUUCCGCAAUGGACGAAAGUCUGACGGAGCAACGCCGCGUGAGUGAUGAAGGUUUUCGGAUCGUAAAGCUCUGUUGUUAGGGAAGAACAAGUGCGAGAGUAACUGCUCGCACCUUGACGGUACCUAACCAGAAAGCCACGGCUAACUACGUGCCAGCAGCCGCGGUAAUACGUAGGUGGCAAGCGUUGUCCGGAAUUAUUGGGCGUAAAGGGCUCGCAGGCGGUUUCUUAAGUCUGAUGUGAAAGCCCCCGGCUCAACCGGGGAGGGUCAUUGGAAACUGGGAAACUUGAGUGCAGAAGAGGAGAGUGGAAUUCCACGUGUAGCGGUGAAAUGCGUAGAGAUGUGGAGGAACACCAGUGGCGAAGGCGACUCUCUGGUCUGUAACUGACGCUGAGGAGCGAAAGCGUGGGGAGCGAACAGGAUUAGAUACCCUGGUAGUCCACGCCGUAAACGAUGAGUGCUAAGUGUUAGGGGGUUUCCGCCCCUUAGUGCUGCAGCUAACGCAUUAAGCACUCCGCCUGGGGAGUACGGUCGCAAGACUGAAACUCAAAGGAAUUGACGGGGGCCCGCACAAGCGGUGGAGCAUGUGGUUUAAUUCAAAGCAACGCGAAAAAACCUUACCAGGUCUUGACAUCCUCUGACAACCCUAGAGAUAGGGCUUUCCCUUCGGGGACAGAGUGACAGGUGGUGCAUGGUUGUCGUCUUCUCGUGGCAUUGGAAAGUGGGGUUAAGUCCCGGAAACCAG